AGGGAAUUUCUUUUAUUCGUUACCACAUGUUUGAGAACCAGUGAUAGCUUUGCAAAUCCGCAAGUGUAUUUGAAGAAUCUGAUCUCUAGUUAUCAUUACAUUGAACAGGGGCUCCUGUAAUUGAAUCAUAACAACAGCAGCCAAGCAGCCAAAAUUUCGCGUACAUGGGGGUGAGAAUAGAGCUCGGGUUCGCUCAAAAAGUGCAGAAUCCCAACAACUUUAUAAACUCCGUUUUCAUACAUUUUGUAUUGAAGACAAUCAGGAAAUUUAAAGAUAAACAACGACAGACGUACGUAUUUUAAAAACUGAAAGAUAAAAUUGCCUUUGAUAAUGUCACACCCCUGGCUGACAUGUUAUAGCUCUACCCUGCGGCAUGAGGCAGGAAGAGUUGCAAAUGACUGAAAAAUACACGGUGGGGGGUGGCGGGAGGGAGGCUUGGAAUCAACAGGGCCCUUCUACUGUAGGGGGUAAGGAAAAUGCGCACGAUCGCGGAUUACAGCAGGCAACUGCCGUCAAAAAAAUUGCAUGCUUCUUCUAGCCCCUGUAUAACUUUAUCGCCCAAGGUAAGCGAGAUCAUUCUUUUGAGCCAGAUGAAUUGGAAAUGAGAGAAAGGAGGCUUGCGAAGAGUACAGUUCCCAAAUUUCCGUGGCGUUUCUCAUAUCCCUCACCUCGUACCCCUUCUUGUUUACAAUAUAUUUGUCGCCGACAAGUUACGGUGUUCUAGAUCGUCCUCUAGAUCGUUCUAGAUGGUCCAUAUGCUUUAUUCCCGCGCGCCACGCUCGUUUCUGGCGGUGAUGUUUUAUUGUACCUUAUCCUAAGAUCUCCUCGGAUUUUUUGACCCAUUUCAAACUGAUUUUCCAUACCUUUUAAAUCUGAAUAAAACAGGGUUUGAUGGAAUAAAACAGGUCCGUUGGAGCUCAGGGGGCAAGAGGAAAUAAGCACCACAUAGACUAUAUCAACAGAAGUAGAGACAGAGUCGCUCUGUGGACGUAAGUUUGGUUUAGGACUAACGGGACUGCCGGUUACAGGGCUCGAGAUAGAGAAAGUGCAGACCAAAAUCAGAGCAAAACUUAUACUCGCACUGUCCAAUGUAGAAUGUAAGUGAAGAUAACUGUUUGGAAUAAAGGAAAAAAAUACAGUGCUAUAAAAGAAUGCCGAAAUUUCUCUUCGAUAACAUCCCACAUGUCUAUUUUGGCGAGCGAGAAACGAGCGAGCGCAUUUUGACCAAGCGAUUCCAACUCGGAAGAGGCUUGGAGAGAGACGAAAAAGCAUCCUAGAUCCAGUACUCUAGAAGGAGUGAGGUUGAAGAGGAGUAAGUGGUGGGGGCAGGGGAAGGAAAAAUAAACGUUUUUCCACCCUUUCUAGGCUUUUGUACAUCAUGUUAGUAUUUUUUCAAGUAUUUUAGCGAGGCAAAAGUAUUAAGCUUUGUUCGAGCAUUUUAGUGCGAUUUUCCCGGAAAAUUAAUUUUUUCCUCAGAAAAUAGAAAUCAACAUUUUUUACCAGAAAAUUAAAAAAUUGAAAAAAUUUCAAAUGCCACCCUAAUGCAGCGAGUAAAGAGGUCUGAAUGAGUGUCCUAUCAACCUUUACGUUCAAUUUUUUAGACCAAAAUAGGCAUUAGCGCAGAGUGCAGUUUCUUUUAAGUGUUGAAUUACUUGUAAAAGACUCUGAUCGGCCGCUUACAAGAGCUUAAAAACAAAGGAAUAGUCCAGCUGGGUAAUCCCAAAAGAGGCCGCGGUCGCUUAAGAGAGGUUCAAGUCACAGUUACCACGGUCCAAACAGGGUUUCACACAUGUGAUCUUAACUAGAGCUGGUCGCUUAGGAGAGUGGUCGCACGGAAAGCUUCGACUGUAGUCACCUUUGCAAGACUGUGAUCCUUUCGAUCGCGUCCGUGCAGUGAUGUAUGAGCAUUAACCGAACAUUUUUGGAGGGGAAACCGAGCAUUUUAGUGGGAAAAAUGGAGCAUUAAGGUGGAGCAUUUUAAUGGGGAAAUAAAAGCACAACGUACAAAAGUCUAACCCCCUCCCCGCCAACGUUUCCCAAGGAACCAUGGCGGCGAAUCUACUGGAUUACGAGCUAAUACCGAUAUCUCGUGAACACACGGAAAACGCCUGCACUGCAGGCUAGUCUAUCCGUGCGGAGAACCCCACCCCCCUCCCCUCUGCACUCACGCACAAGUAAAGUACAGAAUCAAAGAGUAUGACAACAAAUUUCACAAUUAACAAUUGAACUAUUAUUUUAUUCCAGGUACAUAAGCAGCCGUUUUAAUUGACAUGCAGUUACUUUACAUCGCCUUGUUUCUGGACGUGCUCAAACUACAACAAAAACCAAAUACAAGUGAUACUUGUGAAUAUAAGGAGAAUGUUUUGUAAACCUAAGAAAAAUGAAGCGAAAUCCAAGUUUAAAAACACCUGUGUCAUUAAGUAUAACCGAUAUAUGUGAGCUAUAAUCAGCACGCACCUAUAGCAGUAUCAAGUGCUGUUUUCAAAUGACCUACUCCAAGGGGACGAAUAAAACCAACGUCAAUAGCUUUGUGCAGCGACACGUUUGUGCUACCAUAAUAAAUUCAACUUAAGAA
This 2575-nucleotide long non-coding RNA is filed under the name Orbicella faveolata. Its description in RNAcentral is "uncharacterized LOC110045066". The record is from RNAcentral. Lineage: Eukaryota; Metazoa; Cnidaria; Anthozoa; Scleractinia; Merulinidae.